RNAcentral lists this transfer RNA (73 nucleotides) under Tritrichomonas foetus. It matches the Rfam family "tRNA". From Rfam's summary of the family: Transfer RNA (tRNA) molecules are approximately 80 nucleotides in length. Their secondary structure includes four short double-helical elements and three loops (D, anti-codon, and T loops). Lineage: Eukaryota; Parabasalia; Tritrichomonadida; Tritrichomonadidae. The record is from Rfam by way of RNAcentral. RNAcentral also lists the same sequence under 1 other name.
GCUUCCGUAGCUUAGUGGUUAUAGCGUUCGCCUAGUAAGCGGAAGGUCGCGCGUUCGACUCGCGCUGGAAGCA